CACUCACUUGUGCUGCAUGUGGCUGCCAUAGAAGCUUUCACAGAAGGGAAGUUGACACUGAGGUCGUGUGUGAGUGCUCUUCACCGUCUUCAACCGCGACUUAACUAGAGAUGAAACUAAAGCUUAAUCAAGGAUUGUUAAUCAGUGGAGGUUAAUUCAUGUCAUGUGUUAACUUUGCUUGUUUCUCUAUAUAUCUGGGUUUGAGGGUUUUGAUCUUCAAGUACUUUCUCUCUCUCUUUUUAAUUUGGUUUUCGUGUUUGAGAUUGUUCAUUUUCCUUGUCGAUUUAUAGGGUUAAUUCAUUGACAUGAGUGGCUAAGACCUCCUUAAUUUGUGAUCCCAUAUUUAUGUACAAAAGAGAGAAGAAGUGUGUUUUGUUCUUGAAUAUGAAUGAAUGAUUCUCCC
This 403-nucleotide long non-coding RNA is filed under the name Citrus sinensis (sweet orange). Its description in RNAcentral is "long non-coding RNA (CSIN_LNC002757)". Lineage: Eukaryota; Viridiplantae; Streptophyta; Magnoliopsida; Sapindales; Rutaceae. The record is from RNAcentral.